AACGCGAAGAACCUUACCAGGUCUUGACAUCCUCUGACAACCCUAGAGAUAGGGCUUCUCCUUCGGGAGCAGAGUGACAGGUGGUGCAUGGUUGUCGUCAGCUCGUGUCGUGAGAUGUUGGGUUAAGUCCCGCAACGAGCGCAACCCUUGAUCUUAGUUGCCAUCAUUUAGUUGGGCACUCUAAGGUGACUGCCGGUGACAAACCGGAGGAAGGUGGGGAUGACGUCAAAUCAUCAUGCCCCUUAUGACCUGGGCUACACACGUGCUACAGUGGACGGUACAAAGAGCUGCAAGACCGCGAGGUGGAGCUAAUCUCAUAAAACCGUUCUCAGUUCGGAUUGUAGGCUGCAACUCGCCUACAUGAAGCUGGAAUCGCUAGUAAUCGCGGAUCAGCAUGCCGCGGUGAAUACGUUCCCGGGCCUUGUACACACCG
RNAcentral lists this ribosomal RNA (433 nucleotides) under uncultured bacterium. RNAcentral describes it as "bacterial SSU rRNA". It matches the Rfam family "Bacterial small subunit ribosomal RNA", at positions 958 to 1392 of the family's 1533-position model. The record is from RNAcentral.